UACCCGCUGAACUUAAGCAUAUCAAUAAGCGGAGGAAAAGAAACCAACAGGGAUUGCCUUAGUAACGGCGAGUGAAGCGGCAAAAGCUCAAAUUUGAAAUCUGGCACCUUCGGUGUCCGAGUUGUAAUUUGAAGAAGGUAACUUUGGAGUUGGCUCUUGUCUAUGUUCCUUGGAACAGGACGUCACAGAGGGUGAGAAUCCCGUGCGAUGAGAUGCCCAAUUCUAUGUAAAGUGCUUUCGAAGAGUCGAGUUGUUUGGGAAUGCAGCUCUAAGUGGGUGGUAAAUUCCAUCUAAAGCUAAAUAUUGGCGAGAGACCGAUAGCGAACAAGUACAGUGAUGGAAAGAUGAAAAGAACUUUGAAAAGAGAGUGAAAAAGUACGUGAAAUUGUUGAAAGGGAAGGGCUUGAGAUCAGACUUGGUAUUUUGCGAUCCUUUCCUUCUUGGUUGGGUUCCUCGCAGCUUACUGGGCCAGCAUCGGUUUGGAUGGUAGGAUAAUGACUAAGGAAUGUGGCUCUACUUCGGUGGAGUGUUAUAGCCUUGGUUGAUACUGCCUGUCUAGACCGAGGACUGCGUCUUUGACUAGGAU
This 586-nucleotide ribosomal RNA is filed under the name Debaryomyces hansenii. RNAcentral's name for it is "partial large subunit ribosomal RNA". It matches the Rfam family "Eukaryotic large subunit ribosomal RNA", at positions 22 to 613 of the family's 3401-position model. Lineage: Eukaryota; Fungi; Ascomycota; Pichiomycetes; Serinales; Debaryomycetaceae. The record is from RNAcentral.